UGCUGCAUGGCUGUCGUCAGCUCGUGUCGUGAGAUGUCGGUUAAGUCCGCUAACGAGCGCAACCCUCGUCGUGUGUUAUACGUGUCACACGAUACUGCCGGUAUCAAGCCGGAGGAAGGUGGGGAUGAUGUCAAGUCAGCAUGGCCUUUAUAUCCUGGGCUACACACACGCUACAAUGGCAGAUACAAUAGGUUGCGAAACCGCGAGGUGGAGCCAAUCCUCAAAGUCUGUCUCAGUUCAGAUUGUAGGCUGCAACUCGCCUGCAUAGAGUUGGAGUUGCUAGUAAACGCAGGUCAGCUAUACUGCGUUGAAUACGUUCCCGGGGUUU
RNAcentral lists this ribosomal RNA (328 nucleotides) under uncultured Leptolinea sp. RNAcentral describes it as "bacterial SSU rRNA". It matches the Rfam family "Bacterial small subunit ribosomal RNA", at positions 1039 to 1382 of the family's 1533-position model. The record is from RNAcentral. Lineage: Bacteria; Bacillati; Chloroflexota; Anaerolineae; Anaerolineales; Anaerolineaceae.